This 214-nucleotide ribosomal RNA is filed under the name uncultured bacterium. RNAcentral describes it as "partial 16S ribosomal RNA". It matches the Rfam family "Bacterial small subunit ribosomal RNA", at positions 122 to 334 of the family's 1533-position model. The record is from RNAcentral.
CAACCUACCUUUGAGACCGGGAUAGCCCUGAGAAAUCAGGAUUAAUACCGGAUGUGGUCACGACAAGGCAUCUUGACGUGAACAAAGGCGCAAGCCGCUCAAAGACGGGCUCGCGGCUUAUUAGCUUGUUGGUGGGGUGAUGGCCUACCAAGGCGAUGAUGAGUAGCUGGUCUGAGAGGACGAUCAGCCACACUGGGACUGAGACACGGCCCAG